This is a non-coding RNA of Schistocephalus solidus, 63 nucleotides long. The record is from Rfam. Lineage: Eukaryota; Metazoa; Platyhelminthes; Cestoda; Diphyllobothriidea; Diphyllobothriidae.
CCCGUGGCUCAAUGGUCAGAGCGUUUGACUUCCGAUCAACAGGUUGCAGGUUCGAGCCUCGGG